Long non-coding RNA from Myodes glareolus (Bank vole), 645 nucleotides. RefSeq lists it as uncharacterized. Lineage: Eukaryota; Metazoa; Chordata; Mammalia; Rodentia; Cricetidae. The record is from RefSeq and is a predicted model, not a curated record.
GCUGUAACACAGAGAAUGUCUGCUCAUCCAGCUGGGCCACGAGGAUGCUUGAGCCAUCCACACUCGAAGCAUAGAUAAUCCAGACGCCCUUCUCAUCCACAGCUAUGUUGAAGGAAAGAAUUUUAACAACACAGCUUGUCUCAAGAGAAAGGAGAAAUAAGUGAGCCUCUCCCCCACGUCAGAGAAUGGCCCUCUGUGCCAGGAGGACUCUGCUCUGCUUGCUUCCUGUCUCAAAGGAUAUGAGAUACCACACUCCAUAUCUCUUCCUCCCUGCUUCUCAUCUUCUCAUGGGUCCACAUCAGCAAGAAAGGCAGACCCCAGGCAGGGACCAGGACAUGGGAUUCCUUCACCAUAUCCCGCCAUUCCCUUGUGGGACAAACCCUGACUGACCUACCUAGGCACAUCUAAACAACUGCAAAAGACAACACACAGUGGGCAUAGCAGGACCCGUGCAGAGACGCAGUCAGGGUACUACGGUCCGGCUGGCUCACCUCACUAUGGUGUUGGAGCCCCCUUUGUGGUAGUAGAGAGAGUUGUUGAAAACCGCAUGCCCGCAGCCGUGGAAGUAAUGCGGGAGGUGGAUGAGCGUGAAACUGCUGUUGAGAAGAGCUUGCAGGUCUUUGAACUCCUUCACCAUGAUUCCUG